ACGGUAAUAUAUUUAAAAUUUGAAGCAUUUUAUCUUUGUUAUGUCAGCUGU
Molecule: microRNA precursor, 51 nt
Filed under: Ciona intestinalis (vase tunicate)
Lineage: Eukaryota; Metazoa; Chordata; Ascidiacea; Phlebobranchia; Cionidae
Description: microRNA cin-mir-4164 precursor
Source: miRBase by way of RNAcentral